This 1066-nucleotide unclassified non-coding RNA is filed under the name Schistocerca americana (American grasshopper). Its description in RNAcentral is "uncharacterized LOC124616679, transcript variant X2". The record is from RNAcentral. Lineage: Eukaryota; Metazoa; Arthropoda; Insecta; Orthoptera; Acrididae.
GGCUUGUACUGCUGCCGUACUGCUCCCAAUGGAUGCUGCCCAGAAGCCGAGAGGACUGAAGCAACUGCAUGGAUAGUUGUUGGAGUGAUGGCUAUGUUAGCAGCUGGUGGAUACGGUUUCUGGAGGUACAAAGUCGCCCAAAGAAUGAUACGCUGGAGGCGGGACACGGACCGGCUGCCGCUGCCUGCCGCCUCCGGGGGGCGGGCCCUGCCCCCCGCCACCGUGAGGGCGCUGCCCGCGCCUCCAGGCUGGACUCCGGGCUCUGCCUUCGCCGCCGAGACUCCGCCCCACUCUCCAGACACUGCCUCCGCUUCUGAGACGGCGCCUCUCCUCUCACGAAUUAACCUCUAGCGGUCCACGCAUCAUUAACAUCAACUGCCAUGCUACUGUCUACACUCUGCAGAACGACGACGUCAGCUGUUUUUGCUUCCGCUAGUGUAAUCCGUACAGUAGUACUGUAAACUUUUUUAACGCUAUGAAUGUGUGUUAUGGAAAAGUAGACAUGAAUGUUACUUUAUAAUGCAAGUGUGUCCAACACUCAAAGGCGGGAACAGUGGACAAUCGCAAUUAAAUGCGAAAAUGGAAAUCGCAAAACUGUCAUGUGGAAUAAGAAUUCCUAUCUUAUUGAAGUAAGUAUUUUUUUUCUUGUGACAAGGCAUUAAUAAUGUCCUGUAUUUAGUAGUAUUUAUCAUUCAAGAAUUUGUUGGAGUUCAGUGAACAAUUUUUAUGUUACUAACAGGAGAACCAAAAAUAUAUCUUUAUUUAUUUACUACAUAAUACACUCACGGAUAAUCAGUACUAUAUAGCAGAGUAAUGUCUUAACAACAAUUUUUCCUUGGGCGGAACGUCGAAUUUUGUUAUUUCUGUGACCGUUGGUUACUUUUGGUCACGUUUGACGAUAAGUCCAUAUAACAUGCAAGAUAGUUAUGUUUCACUAAUUCGAAAAGUAAGUCACAAUUAUCGACCGAAAAUACAUUUUGUGGAGGCGGGAGAAGAUUUCCAAAGCGUUGCGACUAAUAACUUCAAGAAUAAAUGUCCCAGCAAGGAAAACGCGUAGCAGCAUGAG